AUUGAACGCUGGCGGCAUGCUUUACACAUGCAAGUCGAACGGCAGCGCGGGCUUCGGCCUGGCGGCGAGUGGCGAACGGGUGAGUAAUACAUCGGAACGUGCCCAGUAGUGGGGGAUAGCUCGGCGAAAGCCGGAUUAAUACCGCAUACGACCUGAGGGUGAAAGCGGGGGAUCUUCGGACCUCGCGCUAUUGGAGCGGCCGAUGGCAGAUUAGCUAGUUGGUGGGGUAAAGGCCUACCAAGGCGACGAUCUGUAGCUGGUCUGAGAGGACGACCAGCCACACUGGGACUGAGACACGGCCCAGACUCCUAAGGGAGGCAGCAGUGGGGAAUUUUGGGCAAUGGGCGAAAGCCUGAUCCAGCAAUGCCGGGUGUGUGAUGAAGGCCUUCGGGUUGUAAAGCACUUUUGGCGGGAACGAAAAGGACUGUGCCAAUACCACGGUUCGAUGACGGUACCCGCAGAAUAAGCACCGGCUAACUACGUG
Molecule: ribosomal RNA, 484 nt
Filed under: uncultured bacterium
Lineage: Bacteria
Description: partial 16S ribosomal RNA
Rfam family: Bacterial small subunit ribosomal RNA
Source: RNAcentral